Molecule: non-coding RNA, 1315 nt
Organism: Peromyscus maniculatus bairdii (prairie deer mouse)
Lineage: Eukaryota; Metazoa; Chordata; Mammalia; Rodentia; Cricetidae
Source: RefSeq, a predicted model, not a curated record
UUUCCUAGACGCUGUACCAUCAGGAGUCACCCCAGCAUCAGCAGUAAGCUGUACAGGCUUUUGCAUGGCUUUGACUAACCCAGGUUCUCGACAAUGGAGCUCUCUGUGAUCUUGGAGAGUAAUACCAUGUCGUCCACGCCACUCUGCUUGACAUCGUGACUCUGCCAGUGGUACCGAAAGGCACCUUUGCUGCCCUGGAGACAGAAGGCACAAAGGAAACUCGAAGAAGGAAGGAGCUUGUUCUCAUGUACACUCAUCGAGCAAAGAAACCACAGACAGACAGAAAAAGGAAAGGGGAAAAAACUGGAGUCCAUGUGUAGUCCUGACAAGAGACAGGAUUCUGGAGUAUUGUCGUCUGCUGCCGACACUUCAGGUGGCUUCACAGAGGCGCCAUGUACGAGGCUAGCACGAUGGACCAAGAUUCAGCCCUGCCCCCGCUGUGACAGCUCCUGACUUGGGGGAGUGUCAACGGAGCGCGGAAAACUUAUGGACAAAGGUCUGUAGAAAGGCCAGCUGCUCUGACAUCGAACCCAGCGCGGGGAAACAAAAGCAGGGGCUUCGCUUUGUUUGUCUGAGGAGGACACAGAUGUAAAGCUAAGUCCAAGAGGUUCAGCAGGAAAAGCAAUCAUCAAAAUCCAGCCGAGAGGAAGCCACCGCCAGGAAAAGCAUACCACACCAGGGGUUCAAACUGUGGAAAGAGGUUCUAGAAGGUUUACCACCCAUGCUGUCUAGAGGAGAGAGACCGUCCAUAUGAUACAUUUGGUUUUCUCAGAACCACACACAGCAUCAAUUCUGCAAAAUUACCUCAGAUGUCACCCUUCCCCCUUCCUCUGUGGCAAGCAGAGAGCGGAAAGGCUUUGCCCACAGCUUGACUCACAGGGCUCCCGUUGUACGCCCAAGGCCAAGCAGACACAGCCCAGGGUACUCCUCCUCUGGCUCUCUGGCCAGCCCCCCACAUACACAUGCAAACAGAAGGCUAAAAAAGUUAUUUUCCCUUUGAAAAAUGUAAACACGAUUGAGGAUAACAGAAAGCCAUCAACAAGUGGUUAUUUAAUGUCUACAAAGGACAAGGACAGGGGAGACUGGUGCCACAGUAUGCAUGCUCAUGCAGACCCUCAAAGUAACCUGUGUCUUGUGGACAGCCACCAGGUCCACUGGAUCCUCCCCAUCUCACGCUCCUGCCUGCCGUCUCAGAGACUGAUUCCUCCUCCUGAUGUCAAUCAUUCUCCAGGACCAUAGGGCUCCCUGCUGAGUCUACUGGGUGUCUUUGUCCCAGAAAUUGAUAUUAAAAGUUGUCACUCUGACCUCAAAUUUA